This 458-nucleotide ribosomal RNA is filed under the name uncultured bacterium. Its description in RNAcentral is "bacterial SSU rRNA". It matches the Rfam family "Bacterial small subunit ribosomal RNA", at positions 341 to 793 of the family's 1533-position model. The record is from RNAcentral.
UAGGGAGGCAGCAUGGGGAAUAUUGCACAAUGGGCGCAAGCCUGAUGCAGCCAUGCCGCGUGUAUGAAGAAGGCCUUCGGGUGUAAAGUACUUUCAGCAGUGAGGAAGGCAGGUACGUUAAUAGCGUGCUUGUUUGACGUUAGCUGCAGAAGAAGCACCGGCUAACUCCGUGCCAGCAGCCGCGGUAAUACGGAGGGUGCGAGCGUUAAUCGGAAUUACUGGGCGUAAAGCGCAUGCAGGUGGUUUGUUAAGUCAGAUGUGAAAGCCCGGGGCUCAACCUCGGAAUUGCAUUUGAAACUGGCAGACUAGAGUACUGUAGAGGGGGUAGAAUUUCAGGUGUAGCGGUGAAAAUGCGUAGAGAUCUGAAGGAAUACCGGUGGCGAAGGCGGCCCCCUGGACAGAUACUGACACUCAGAUGCGAAAGCGUGGGGAGCAAACAGGAUUAGAUACCCUGGUAG